GCGGGGUCAGGGCUGCCAAGGCGGGGGAGGCCGAGCCGAGCAGCACCAGCACGUCCUCUUCCUCCUUCAACUCCAAGGUCUCGGAUUUGACGAACAUCCUACCAAAGAGAGAGGGGAAGGAGAAAAGGGCAGUGAGGCGUAAGGAAAGAAACAGAGGCGCGAUCUUCGUGUCACAGGGGCGUGCUCGGGCGCGCACCCGAGAAGACCAGCUCCGAAUGGCGCGGGGAAAGAAACCCGGGCCAAGGUAAAUACUGGAACAUUCAUAAUCUGAAAUUGUUAUUUUUUUAAAUGCCGGCCUUCUGGAGAAUGCCUUUUCUUUUGUAGUCUCUGUCAAACAUUGGAAGGAAAUUUCAGUUCAGAGAUGUCUGAAGUUGGACUCAGUGGUAAGCAGAAACCUGAUGACAGCAUAGUGGUCCAGCUUGUUUCUCCUGGGGGCGUUCUUCCGAGGAUAUUUGGGCUGCCUCCAGAGUUGCAGUAUCUUGGGCUGCCAGAAGGAUGACAAUGAAGCAAGAAGGUCCCUGCCAAAUGCAGGUCCCUAGGUCUUAGACAUCUCAGCCUUCGGAACUAUAAUAAAUAAAUCUCUGUUCU
This is a long non-coding RNA of Rhinopithecus roxellana (golden snub-nosed monkey), 588 nucleotides long. RefSeq lists it as uncharacterized. Lineage: Eukaryota; Metazoa; Chordata; Mammalia; Primates; Cercopithecidae. The record is from RefSeq and is a predicted model, not a curated record. The transcript has 4 exons.